UAUCUUAGUGGCGGACGGGUGAGUAACGCGUGGGCAACCUACCGUAUACAGGGGGAUAACACUUAGAAACAGGUGCUAAUACCGCAUAAGCGCACAGGGCCGCAUGGCCCGGUGUGAAAAACUCCGGUGGUGUAAGAUGGACCCGCGUCUGAUUAGCUUGUUGGCGGGGUAGAGGCCCACCAAGGCGACGAUCAGUAGCCGGCCUGAGAGGGUGGACGGCCACAUUGGGACUGAGACACGGCCCAAACUCCUACGGGAGGCAGCAG
RNAcentral lists this ribosomal RNA (266 nucleotides) under uncultured bacterium. RNAcentral describes it as "partial 16S ribosomal RNA". It matches the Rfam family "Bacterial small subunit ribosomal RNA", at positions 88 to 354 of the family's 1533-position model. The record is from RNAcentral.